Molecule: long non-coding RNA, 844 nt
Organism: Crotalus tigris (Tiger rattlesnake)
Lineage: Eukaryota; Metazoa; Chordata; Lepidosauria; Squamata; Viperidae
Exons: 3
Source: RefSeq, a predicted model, not a curated record
GCAGCAGAGAGGGCACUCCUGUUACAAAUGGCAUGAAGCCCCUUUGCACAACCCAGCCAUUGCCAUGCCACAUUGCAAGCAUGGUUGAACAUGGACAACGACUAAAGGGCAAGACUACCUUCAGGGGCCCGAGAAAAUCAGCAAAUGCAAAAAUAUUCAAGGAAAAUUGUGGCCAUUUGGAAGGAGCAUUUACCCCCAAAUUUCUAACCGUAGGUCUACUUCAUAUAAUCACCCCUUUCCUUAAAGCUAGUGGGGGGUCACAAACAUUAUGGGAAGCCUUGAGUAUCUUGUCAGAACUACCUCCUGCUCUGCCUAGACAGGCAUUCUGAAGUGUAGUUGGCAGGGCUUGUGUGGGUGGGAGGAGCAGAGCACAGUUGUAACGCCCUGGUGCCCAGGGAUCCAGCCCCAGAAACUCAGACUGCAUGCCCUGUGCUGCAUGCCCUGGGGGAGAAAUGGGAAGAGCCAGGGGAUGAUCUUACAGAGGCUCUGCUUCAAUCGCUUCUGAUGGCAGGGUAGGGCUUGGCCCGCUCCCUGCAGGAUUCCAGCACGGGGUGCCCGUGGUUUUCCAUGCCUCCUGCUGUUUGGGCAUGCCAAGCAAGCUCUGCCUACCUUUGUUGUGAGGCAGAGACAGGGCAAUUUUGGCCACGUGGGCCAGAGGAAUCUUCCUGCCCUUGCCCACCACACGGUCAUUGACGAAGGUCCCGUUGGCACUUUGGUCUUCCAGGCUUCGCUCCUGGCCAGAUCCAGCCUGGAAAAGCUGUAGUCGCAGCCGGGGUCGCGGCCAAACCAGUACUCGUUCUUCAGGCAGACUGAGCGGGAAGAGGAGCGGUUCCGGUCAGCCCGG